RNAcentral lists this ribosomal RNA (391 nucleotides) under uncultured bacterium. Its description in RNAcentral is "bacterial SSU rRNA". It matches the Rfam family "Bacterial small subunit ribosomal RNA", at positions 28 to 419 of the family's 1533-position model. The record is from RNAcentral.
GACGAACGCUGGCGGCGUGCUUAACACAUGCAAGUCGAGCGGUAAGGCCCUUUCGGGGGUACACGAGCGGCGAACGGGUGAGUAACACGUGGGUGACCUGCCCUCAGCUCUGGGAUAAGCCUGGGAAACCGGGUCUAAUACUGGAUAUGACUCCAUGACGCAUGUUGUGGGGUGGAAAGCCUUGUGCGGCUGAGGAUGGGGCCCGCGGCCUAUCAGCUUGUUGGUGGGGUGANGGCCUACCAAGGCGACGACGGGUAGCCGGCCUGAGAGGGCGACCGGCCACACUGGGACUGAGACACGGCCCAGACUCCUACGGGAGGCAGCAGUGGGGAAUCUUGCGCAAUGGGCGAAAGCCUGACGCAGCGACGCCGCGUGAGGGAUGACGGCCUGG